GUGUUGAGGCCCCUUUGUUGCAUUAUCUGUCCCAACCAGUGGGCGGUAUUUUGUAGCUGGAGGGCGAUGGUCUGGAGGUCCUGGUUGGACAAGGCCGCUGCGGGCACAUUCCCUGCCAAGCUUGGCGAGGGGUUGAAAGGAAUGGGUGGUUGGUUAUUGGGAGUCGUAGGACUGGAAAAAGAGAACUGCUGCCCCUCUUGAGCAGAGCUCAGGUCGUUGAGAGUGUUAAGAUUGUUUUCAUUGUGAUUAGCCAUCGUGGAUCUCAG
This 266-nucleotide long non-coding RNA is filed under the name Manihot esculenta (cassava). RNAcentral's name for it is "long non-coding RNA (MESC_LNC011209)". Lineage: Eukaryota; Viridiplantae; Streptophyta; Magnoliopsida; Malpighiales; Euphorbiaceae. The record is from RNAcentral.